Molecule: ribosomal RNA, 275 nt
Filed under: uncultured Anaerolineaceae bacterium
Lineage: Bacteria; Bacillati; Chloroflexota; Anaerolineae; Anaerolineales; Anaerolineaceae
Description: partial 16S ribosomal RNA
Rfam family: Bacterial small subunit ribosomal RNA
Source: RNAcentral
AGCGCAACCCUCGCUGUGUGUUACAAGUGUCACACGGAACUGCCGGUCAUAAACCGGAGGAAGGUGGGGAUGACGUCAAGUCAGCAUGGCCUUUAUAUCCUGGGCUACACACACGCUACAAUGGGAAGGGACAAUAGGUUGCGAAGCCGCGAGGCGGAGCCAAUCCAGCAAAACUUCCCUCAGUUCAGAUUGCAGGCUGCAACUCGCCUGCAUGAAGUUGGAGUUGCUAGUAAACGCAGGUCAGCCAUACUGCGUUGAAUGCGUUCCCGGGGCUU